CUUGUAAGUGCAAAAUAUGAGGUUGAGCAAACUUAGAAAAGAUGCAAGCAGAUACAAUCGAAUGAACGUGUUAAUUUUACUAUCAACGGAAAAGAAAAAGCACCCCAUUCCUCUGUUGCUAAUAGGGCGUCUAUAAGGAGUAAGAAAUUUACCUGCACAGAUUGUUCAUUUCCGACGACAGAUUUGAGAAUAUUUCUGAAUCACAUAUUUGUGAUACAUAAAUACCGCUGGUACAAAUGUCCAAUCUGCCGUGUUUGCACGACAUCUCCAAAUGCAAGCAUGGAGCAUUUUCGAAAAAAUCCUGA
This is a long non-coding RNA of Coccinella septempunctata (seven-spotted ladybird), 305 nucleotides long. RefSeq lists it as uncharacterized. Lineage: Eukaryota; Metazoa; Arthropoda; Insecta; Coleoptera; Coccinellidae. The transcript is spliced from 3 exons. The record is from RefSeq and is a predicted model, not a curated record.